Molecule: long non-coding RNA, 1484 nt
Organism: Lethenteron reissneri (Far Eastern brook lamprey)
Lineage: Eukaryota; Metazoa; Chordata; Hyperoartia; Petromyzontiformes; Petromyzontidae
Source: RefSeq, a predicted model, not a curated record
AAGCCUGCCAGGAGCCGGGGUGGCACGCACGGUUCAGACUCCUGCUCCGCAGACCGAACCCGGGACGUGUUCGUCGGUCGGAGCAGGGCUCUUUACGUGCUCACCUGCGUGGCGAGUGCUCACCUAUGAACCCACCUGUGUGUGCUCGCGCGCACAUUGCGUGAAACUCACCUGAGCGCGCUCGCCCGUGUGCGCGCGUUCGCUUGCGCGGUGCGAGCGCUCACCUGUGCGGUGCAUCAUCUGGAUGGAGAUGGUGUGGGAGCGGCUGGUGAGGAAGCCGCGGGUGUCCACCAUCUGGUGGUGGAACUUCUCAUUCCAGCGGCCUGCGCACGCACACAACGCGGCCCGUGCAGGACCGCGAGAGAUGGCAGCAACUCAUGGCGAAGGCCUUCAUCCAGCAGCGGAUUGGUCACGGCUGCCGGCGACGAAUGGCGACCACUGUGCGCGAGUUCACCAUCGGUGCGUGACGUCAUUUAUGGACGGCCCCAAAGUGAUGCAAGUUCCUCGGAGAUUGCAUCCACAUGCAAGGCGCCAAGAGCAUUCAUGAAUCUUGUGCAGUACUCACACACAGAGACUCGGGCACGUUUGCCGUGAUGCAAUCGAUAUGCAACGCAGAGGUCGACUAUUCGAGUUGCCUAUUCGAUCUCCAGGCGCGGCAGCUGAGACAAAGUGAUGGGGGCAGUUUCUUAAAAAUGUAUUCUAGAUUUGAAGCUUUCGUGACUGCAAGGAUUCAUACUGUUAGGUUUCUUCCGUAAAGUCACGUAGGUAAAAAAAUAAAAUUAAAAGUUAAUAAAAGUAAUAAUGGAAAUAAAAUAAAAAUAUAAUAAUAAAUCACGACGUUUCGGAGGCAACACAAGUCUCCGUCAUCAGGUGGGACCGUCACAGCUAAAUUUACUGCAUCAAGAUAUGUCCAACCCAGCAGUGUGAAUGGGUUCCACCACGGUUAGUCGACAUCUCUCUCCCACCUCGUCAAGCCAGCCCGGAAUUAGUCGGACAACAUACCGUGUUUAGAGGGAAUUGACCAGUGAAAGUCCCUCUUCUGUCGGUAGUUUCGUGGGGGAGCAAUUGGGGAGGGCUUUUGCGCCUUUGGCGUUUGACAAAGAGAGUCAAGCAAUCGUCUUCAGGCGAGAGAAGACGAUCGCGUGUGUUGCGAUCGAAACGUCGCCAUCUAUUAUUUUUUCUGCUUCUUGGUUCUUUCGGUAAAGUCACGUAGAAGGGAAAUAAAAAAAUAAUAAAAAUAAAACAUCAUAAAAUAAUGCUCACGACGUUGCGGCCACAGAAUUAUUUUAUUAUUUCCCUUCUACGUGAUUUCACCGAAAGACCCAAGAGUAUGAAUUCCUGCUUUAAAUCAAGAUACAAAAGAGGCUCGUUCACCUGCGAGCCAUCUCACGCCUACCCAACCCGUCCGACGAGAGACGCUCAUCUUAUCUCCGUAGUCAAGGAACGCAAUGCCCAGCCUCCCUUAACGCUACACGGCUCCUGUG